This 603-nucleotide ribosomal RNA is filed under the name uncultured bacterium. RNAcentral describes it as "bacterial SSU rRNA". It matches the Rfam family "Bacterial small subunit ribosomal RNA", at positions 338 to 946 of the family's 1533-position model. The record is from RNAcentral.
CCUACGGGAGACAGCAGUGAGGAAUAUUGGACAAUGGGCGCAAGCCUGAUCCAGCCAUGCCGCGUGCAGGAAGAAGCAUCUAUGGUGUGUAAACUGCUUUUGUACGGGAAGAAACACUGCUACGUGUAGCAGCUUGACGGUACCGUAAGAAUAAGGAUCGGCUAACUCCGUGCCAGCAGCCGCGGUAAUACGGAGGAUCCAAGCGUUAUCCGGAAUCAUUGGGUUUAAAGGGUCCGUAGGCGGUUUGGUAAGUCAGUGGUGAAAGCCCAUCGCUUAACGAUGGAACGGCCAUUGAUACUGCCAGACUUGAAUUACUAGGAAGUAACUAGAAUAUGUAGUGUAGCGGUGAAAUGCUUAGAUAUUACAUGGAAUACCAAUUGCGAAGGCAGGUUACUACUAGUUUAUUGACGCUGAUGGACGAAAGCGUGGGGAGCGAACAGGAUUAGAUACCCUGGUAGUCCACGCCGUAAACGAUGGAUACUAGCUGUUCGGGGUAACCUGAGUGGCUAAGCGAAAGUGAUAAGUAUCCACCUGGGGAGUACGUUCGCAGAUUGAAACUUAAGGAAUUGACGGNNGNGAGNGCGAGACGACGACGAGGAGAGG